Molecule: long non-coding RNA, 393 nt
Filed under: Fukomys damarensis (Damara mole-rat)
Lineage: Eukaryota; Metazoa; Chordata; Mammalia; Rodentia; Bathyergidae
Description: lncRNA (ENSFDAG00000028967.1)
Source: RNAcentral
CUUUGUACCGCCCUCUCCCGCACCCUUAAGAGAGGCUGGUACUGUGAGGCCGUUUAAUUCUAUCAAGGAAAAAGAAGUAACCUCCAGGCAAUUGUCCAUUUCUUCUACUCGUUUCAACUGCACUUUUUUGAAAUAAUUGAGAAGCAGAGUUAAAGGUUACAUCUGAUGAACACAAGGAAUACAGCUCUCUUUGACAGAUGUGAAAGGAUACAGCCACGGGCCAAAUCACUCACCAAACUGAGUAGAGAUGAUACCCUUAUCAAUAUAAAAAGGGAGCCCAAAGAUUUGGUGGCCAGAAGAGAAGACCACUCGCCUCUGCAUGUAGAAGGGCAAGAGCAUCGAAGACCAUGCAGAAAAUGUGAAGAGGAAAAAGAAUAUGUCCCACAGUUAUAG